This 717-nucleotide long non-coding RNA is filed under the name Homo sapiens (human). RNAcentral describes it as "HSALNT0084146". Lineage: Eukaryota; Metazoa; Chordata; Mammalia; Primates; Hominidae. The record is from RNAcentral.
UCAUGUUCUAGUUUUAAAUCAUAGUUAAGCACUUGAACUUUGUGUUCAAGUAAAAUAUUACUAUUUUUUCUUUCAACUCCUAAAGUUAAAAACCAGAUAAGAUGCAUUUUCUUACUCUUAAAUCAGUAUUUCUACCCAAAGGCGAAUUUUAAAAGCAAAGGCUUCUAGGAAUGGGUCCAUAAGUUGGCUUCAGAGGUGAGGAGCUCAGCAAACCCUUACUAGGUAUAUGUGCAGUUUUCUGCAGGGAGGUGCCCAGUUUUCAGAUUUAAAAUAAAGUCAUGAUCCCAAAAAGAUUAAAGGCUACUCUUUCAAGAAUUACUGAAAAUGCUUAGGCUUGAAAUAUUUUCCAUCUUACAUUUAAAAUAAUUAAAGUGUUUGGUUUUUAAAAAUUUAUCAAAAAAAAUCAGUGAUUUCAAAAUACGUAGGUAUUCUUUCAAAAGCAGGUUAAAUAAUCUGUAUUUAAAUAUUGAACUAUCCACUAAUAAACUUUGAAAUGUUUUAUGUUUUGGUAUGUUUUAUUUUUAGCAGUUACUUAAUUGAAAAUAUGAAAAGGUCUAUGUAUAAUGGCGUAGAGUUUUAAACAUCAAAAUAAGGUUUAGUAGGGUGUUCAACUUAAUAUCAAGCUUUAGAUAUUUUAAUUGUUCUUAAUUAGAAAAUAAUAUAAUUUUUUAUAAGUCCCAAUGACUUUAAUUUUUUUAUAUAACUACGUAAUGUGGU